UACGGAGGGUGCUAGCGUUGCCCGGAUUUAUUGGGCGUAAAGCGUCUGUAGGCGUUUUUGUAAGUUACUUUUCAAAUACUGGGGCUCAACCUCAGAACGGGAAGUAAUACUGCAAGAAUUUGAGUUAUUUCGGGGUUACUAGAACUAUCGGUGUAGGGGUGAAAUCCGUUGAUAUCGAUAGGAAUUCCAAGGGCGAAGGCGGGUAACUAGAAAUUGACUGACGCUGAGAGACGAAAGCUAGGGGAGCGAAAGGG
This 254-nucleotide unclassified non-coding RNA is filed under the name uncultured Patescibacteria group bacterium. Its description in RNAcentral is "contains 16S-23S intergenic spacer region". It matches the Rfam family "Bacterial small subunit ribosomal RNA", at positions 524 to 776 of the family's 1533-position model. The record is from RNAcentral.